RNAcentral lists this ribosomal RNA (407 nucleotides) under uncultured bacterium. Its description in RNAcentral is "partial 16S ribosomal RNA". It matches the Rfam family "Bacterial small subunit ribosomal RNA", at positions 30 to 526 of the family's 1533-position model. The record is from RNAcentral.
AUUGAACGCUGGCGGCAGGCCUAACACAUGCAAGUCGAGCGGAGAGGAGGACGGGUGAGUAAUGCCUAGGAAUCUGCCUGGUAGUGGGGGAUAACGUCAGGAACCGGGAGCUAAUACCGAAUACUAUCAGAUGAGCCUCGGUCGGAGUAGCUAGUUGGUGGGGUAAAGGCCUACCCAGGCGACGAUCCGUCACUGUUCUUAGAGGAUGAUCAGUCACACGGGAACGGAGACACGGUCCAGACUCCUACGGGAGGCAGCAGUGGGGAAUAUUGGACAAUGGGCGAAAGCCUGAUCCAGCCAUGCCGCGUGUGGGAAGAAGGUCUUCGGAUUGUAAAGCACUUUAAGUUGGGAGGCGUUACCAACAGAAUAAGCACCGGCUAACUUCGUGCCAGCAGCCGCGGUAAUAC